RNAcentral lists this long non-coding RNA (1063 nucleotides) under Citrus sinensis (sweet orange). Its description in RNAcentral is "long non-coding RNA (CSIN_LNC003094)". Lineage: Eukaryota; Viridiplantae; Streptophyta; Magnoliopsida; Sapindales; Rutaceae. The record is from RNAcentral.
UUUUUUACGAGGAUUGCUUUAUAAAUUUUAUUUGCUAUGAGGAUAGUGAAUACUGAUCUCGUUUUUCAUAAAUCACAUGCGCAACAGGAAUUAUUCCUUCAGAGAUGGGGAGAUUGAGGAAUCUUGUCCAUCUGGAUCUAUCUAAUAAUUACAUCUGGGGAUAUAUCCCUCCAACUCUUGGUCAUCUAAGCAAAUUGGAAAAUUUGAACUUGUCUUCUAACGGCCUUGAUGGUAAUAUCUCUCCAACUCUUGGUCGUCUAAGCACAUUUUUUACAUUUUUAUUGUGUGAAAGUGAAACUAUAUAAUAAAUUUCUACAUCUUUAUUUAUUACUUCGGUAGUGUUUUAAUUUGGAGAAUAUGCUGGUUGGCUUUUUUUCCUUUAAUUUUUGUAUGAAAUGAAUCGGCUUCAAGUGUCAGUUUCUUUUCCAAAUUGCAUCCAUCAAUUGCAAUUGUUACAUUGGGCGAUUACAAGUUGUACGUAAUUAUUAAGGAAGGCAGGUUUAAGCAUUUUUGGUUUGUAUGUUUUCCUCCUUUUUUUUCCCUUUUGCAUUAAAAAUCAUGGUUAUCCUAUAAAAGAUAUGAUUACAAAUCAAAAGCACUAUUUCUAAUUUCACACAUACAUAGUUCCUCAUUAAUUUACUAAAUUUACUUUUGUAUUUAUAGGAUAGGGUAGUCAAUUGAGAGCACUGAGAGUGAUUCUCUCUAAUCUCCAUAGUUUUGUAUUAAUUUAUUGAUAUAUUUGUUGCAUCUGCAGAUUUAACUUUCAGUCUAAAAUUUGCAGCGUUGACGAGCCCCAAAAAAAAUAAGAAAAAAAAAUUAUUGGAGCACUAAAAAAUCUAUUAAUUUUUACAACCUAAGCACUUCUUUAUAAAUUUUAUUUCUAUGAGGAUAGUGAAUACUGAUCUCGUUUUUCAUAAAUCACAUGCGCAACAGGAAUUAUCCCUUCAGAGAUGGGGAGAUGGAGGAAUCUCGUUCACCUGGAUCUAUCUGAUAAUUUCCUCUGGGGAUAUAUCCCUCCAACUCUUGGUCGUCUAAGCAAAUUGGAAAAUUUGCACUUGUCUUC